AUGCCAUGGUGAGGACACUUCACCAACAUACCCUUAAAUCUCUCCCAUGUUUCUUGUAAAGUCUCAGUCGGUUUCUGCCUGAAUUCCAAUAUCUCAUCAAUCUGCCU
RNAcentral lists this small nucleolar RNA (107 nucleotides) under Nicotiana sylvestris (wood tobacco). RNAcentral describes it as "Plant small nucleolar RNA R71". It matches the Rfam family "Plant small nucleolar RNA R71". From Rfam's summary of the family: R71 is a member of the C/D box family of snoRNAs containing the C (UGAUGA) and D (CUGA) box motifs. Lineage: Eukaryota; Viridiplantae; Streptophyta; Magnoliopsida; Solanales; Solanaceae. The record is from Rfam by way of RNAcentral.